CCGCCGCCAUCGAUAAUGAGAGAAGAGCGGAGUCCCGGCCGUGGCUAAUCUCCAUUCCGGUGAGUGUUCUUUUCUCUUUUCUUUCCACACCUCGUCCCGCUGACGCGUUAUCGCGCCGAUAGACGGCGUUCGCUCGUUAAUUUCUCGGCUACUGUUCCGCUGGCGCGUCCACGCUCCUCCGGAAAAUGUCAGCCAGCACCGGCGCCUGCUGACAAUUUUCUGCUCGGCCUUUGUUUUUACGCGCUUUCCAUAGGCUGAGUAAUAGGCGGGAGUAUUUCCGUGUCCACCAUCCUGGCGGUGGAUGGAGGAUAGCCUUCCAUCAGCCGGGCCAGGACUCCUCCCAAAAAUUGCUGGUAUGGAACCCGGCCAUUGAAUCCGGAGCGAAAGCGCGGCGUCCGGCCGACUCCACCCCGGGUUAAUGUCGAGUCGCGCAAUUAUCGUCUCUUCUUUCUUCCAGCUAGUUUUCUAUCGCCAUAUUUAACCGGCGUUAAACUUCUAUUACGUCGAAUGGCGCGGAAAGGCCAUUUGGCCUGAAAAAUUUUAGUUCAGGCGCUGACGGAAAGUCUUUCAUCGUCCCAUUUUUGACGAGUAAACUGCUAACUGCCUAGUCGAGAGUUUAACACUGUCUGGCUUUUAAUCCAGCUACCGCGGUUUAUUUAAUUGGGUCCCGCGGAUUUCCCUCUGGGAUAUGAUUCCCUCCUAGUUUAUACACCUUCCGGGGAGGAAUAGCUACGGAGCAUUGGUAAACUACGUCACUCUGUGAGUGGAGCCAGUGUAACAGAUUUGAGACCAUAAAUGACGUAGGAGGAGAGGGUGAUGCCAAUAAUGACACCACGUCGUAAAAUAUGAGACAGUUUUCGUAAGAGACAAUUUUCGUCAGUUUUCCAUAAAAUUUCGAUAUCUUCCGGAGGUACACUUCCCAGCAAUUAUUCUAAUUGCUGGCAAGUUACCUCCGGAAGCUUUACAUUUACAAAAAGCGUUACAUUAAUAAAAGAUCUGCGCUUAGUUAUUCGAAGAACUAAGAGUAAUAUAUCAUAUUUGGAGGUACUAUAUUCCGAAUAUGAUAUUUUAUGUUAUAAAAAGUAAAACGUAUACACGUAUAUCGAGUGGGCGGAGCUGUUUUUAAAAUUUAAGAAUUUUGUAUCGGAUGGUUAGUGGCGCGUUAAAGCUUGGCCUCCCCAAAAUUUCGACAUUAGCGCCGCGUAAUUACGCGUUUACCAAGUAUUGUUUAAAGUUACCCAAAUCGGUGUCCAGUUGGGCGCAGCUAUUAGAUAUUCUUUAUUUUCAAUUUUUUUAUCGUCCCGAUUUGCCUAAGCCCUUGUCUGGCCAGGACCAGAAAGAAAUUUCUGCCUUAGUAGGUGGAUUUUCAAAGUCGCGAUGUUAGUGCCGCCAAACUACGUAUUUUAUAACAAGGUAAAGAGACGCACCUGCCACGGAACCUGAUAGCUGUCUGGUAGUCACUUUAUAUCUGUUAGCGUUUUUUUUCUCUCUAUCUUCUUCGUAUUUGUUUAGAGUUAUGGAAACCGAGAGGCGGAAGUUGCUAGUUUCGGGAAUAAAAUUUCUGUUUAGUGGUACUGACCUAUCGGUAAUUUAAGAAUUGCGAUUCUAAAGUGACUCGGAUACGUUAUUAUAAAAAUAUUUAAAAGUCUCCCAGAUUAAAAAUAAUACUUAUGGCGGAUUAUUUAAGGUUAGCCUUCCUCCGGGUAACUGCCAGUCCUUACCUGUUUAUUACCAUACUUCUAAUCUAAUUAAAUAUCGUAUGAUAAUGGCGGCGGAUCUCAGACUCCAAGACGAUUGAUAUACAACUUUUGGAAAAUGGCCUUAUGUUUUGGCUUUUCCUCCCGUCGGCCCCGAGGUAGGACUUCAUUUUCUGACCACUAAUAAAUGAAAAAUUAUAUUCUUCGGCCAUGAUAAGAUGCGCUAAUAAAAAUGAUAGAUUUUGUUUGAAGUCAUGGAUGGAGACUAUCAGUCACUAGCUACAUUUCUCAAAAAUAUUGCCAACUUUACGUUGUAUUAUAUAAUAGGAACUGGUGGAAGAAAAUUCCCACCACCGUAUCAAACAGCUUACCUUUUCUAGCUAAAAUGAAAAUCGCCAGUCUAUCCUUAUCCGUCUGGUUUAAACUUUUUCACUCUACCACUAAAACUUUUUAUACGGUUUAAGUUCUAAAUAGUUCCCAUCCAGCCUAAAUUCGCUACACAUUUAUUUAUCGUUUUAAGUGAUGACGGUAUUAAGAGCAAAUUAUUUUUGAAAUUAGUUUAAUCGCUCGAAAUUUUAUCUGCGGAAGUUAUGAAAAUUUUAUGGAAAAACUAACGAAAAUUGCGAAUAAUAUCGGAGAGUCGCGUUUAAUUCUAUAGGUGGAUGAAGCGAAUAGGCUAAAAUAAAUAGACUAUCCAGAAAUAACAGAUCAGCUAAUAUCAUCGAUAAGACCCUUUUCCAGUGAAAUACUGUAUUCUGAAAACAUUCCGAUUUACGCCUAAGAGUUUUGCGCUCGAAAUUCGUAGAGGAAAACGGGGCUAGUACGGUAUUGAAAAAUGCUGAUAUGGGUGGUGAAAUUUGGAGUUUUAUUCGUCUGGCAAGCGUCUGAAACUAAUAUAUUCCCAGCCAAUUUAUUAUAAAAGUUCAUCUGUGUUGGCUGGAAGCGGAGAGAGAUAACAAAGUUGAAUACAAUUUUCUUCCACCAAUAAGCCGAAUUAUAACUGGACUGCGGAUUUUUAUAAACAAUUUUUUGCCACUAAACAACCAUGUUACAUUAUAUAGUAUUCCAUCCAGCAUCGAUUUAAAGUGGAAUUAAGGAUGCCAUUUAAUAUAUUCUCGAUUAGAGUUGGGAUUCAUAUUGGUAGUCGCUAUCCUUAAGUACGCUAUCUUUUUAAUUUUCUUUAACUGGCUACUUUGGUCCUUAGUUAACUCGGCUAGUUGUUAAAUAUUAUCCUGAUAUUUAUAUAAUGAUACCAUAUAUCUUGCCCAUAUUUAUUUUAUACUUAUAUAGACUAUAUAUUGUAUAUAUUUACGCCUGUAUUUAUGUAUAUAUAGAUAUGGGGGUGAUGCCACGGUACUUGGGUCCUGGUGAAACGGGAUAAGACACUUUCGAGGCAGAAACCACGGGCGCAUUGGUGGUAAAUGCGCAAAAUACGCCAUUUGUACAGCGCAUACACUAUCCGUUGGCCAUUGACCGUUUAUAUGGCACCACGCGACCAUAUAAACCAGUAUCUAUACUUUUACGCAAUUUGUGCGGCGCGCAGUAAACGACUGCGCUGUAGGAAUUAGUGCCGAUAGCUAUCCGGAUGGCUUCCUUCGUAAUCGAAGCGCCAAUGAUUGCCAUUUUUAUUCGCACUAUCUGUUGGUCAUUUCGGCUACCCACUUUCGGCGGUAGGACGUUACGUGUCGUACUUUAGUAUAUUUCCUGCCGCUACCAAUGCGCCAUAGAAUAGUAAUAUUUUGUCAUCUACACCAGAUUGGUCUGGAUAUUCAGAAUACGUAUAAAGUAUUAAUUUUAUUUUAUUUAUUAAAAAUGUUUAAUAUUUUAUUUAUUUACAGCAACACUCUGAGCGUACACAUGCGCGAUAGACCCCCCUUCAAAAAUAACACCAAUACACAAAUCAACACCUUGAGAAUAACCGAUGUUAGUACAAGGUGUUAUUGAAGUUAAUAACAACUCUUAUAUAGAAUGAAUUAGGAAAUUUGUUAGUAGGAAAUUUGGAUAUAGAUAGUGAGUCAUAAUUUCUGGAAUGAAAUUGAGGCGGACGAUAGUAAAUUGUUUCAGGUGGUAGCGGUCCAUUAAUGUAUUUAGCUAUAAUUUUACAAUCAGCUAAAGCACUCGUUUCAUUUAAAGAUUUUAUCUUCAUUAUUCUAUAGAUAGUAUCCUGGCUGUAAUGUGAAAAAUCAGAAAUAUUCGAUGAAGUUUUCGCAAUAUGGCGGAUUGCUUUAUCAAUUUUAUUAAUCUGUGUAGCUAAUGGAGAGCUAUAGAUGGGUAAGC
This 3974-nucleotide long non-coding RNA is filed under the name Androctonus crassicauda. The record is from RNAcentral. Lineage: Eukaryota; Metazoa; Arthropoda; Arachnida; Scorpiones; Buthidae.